CCUACGGGUGGCAGCAGUGGGGAAUCUUCCGCAAUGGGCGAAAGCCUGACGGAGCAACGCCGCGUGAUCGAAUGAAGGCCUUCGGGUUGUAAAGAUCUGUUGACAGGGACGAAUAAGCAAUGCGAAUAGUUUUGUGUAUGACGGUACCUGUUUAGAAAGCUCCGGCUAACUACGUGCCAGCAGCCGCGGUAAUACGUAGGGAGCAAGCGUUGUCCGGAAUUACUGGGCGUAAAGGGCGCGUAGGUGGGCGCUUAAGUCAGGAGUGAAAGCCCGGGGCCCAACCCCGGGACUGCUCUUGGAACUGCAUGGCUGGAGUACAGGAGGGGCAGGCGGAAUUCCUAGUGUAGCGGUGAAAUGCGUAGAUAUUAGGAGGAACACCGGUGGCGAAGGCGGCCUGCUGGACUGUGACUGACGUUGAGGCCCGAAGGCGUGGGGAACAAACAGGAUUAGAUACCCCAGUAGUC
RNAcentral lists this ribosomal RNA (464 nucleotides) under uncultured bacterium. Its description in RNAcentral is "partial 16S ribosomal RNA". It matches the Rfam family "Bacterial small subunit ribosomal RNA", at positions 338 to 795 of the family's 1533-position model. The record is from RNAcentral.